Molecule: long non-coding RNA, 1554 nt
Organism: Numida meleagris (helmeted guineafowl)
Lineage: Eukaryota; Metazoa; Chordata; Aves; Galliformes; Numididae
Source: Ensembl
GAACAUUUCCCUGUCCGCCUGUUAGUGUUUAUUUCUUCCCCUUCUCCUCCUGGGAGCCGACACCUCCCAGCCCUCACCUUUCACACGCUGCUCUCCCUUCCUUGCCUCCAUCCCUCCCGUCACCCCUCUCCCUCCUCCUCCUCCUUUCCCAGCUCAGCAGCGGAGAUUUCUGUUUGUGCCAGUGGGGCGGCCUGGCGAGACCGCAAUUGCUCUACCCCACAGAUUGACGAGCCCUCAGAUGCCGAUUUACUGUACAUGGCAGCCACGCUGGAGCCGAGGCACAUCUGGAGUGGAGUAAGCUUACUCAGAAACAGGGGCCAGCUCCAGCCGGAGCCAGCGGAGCCGAGCGCGGCACUUGAAGGCAGCCCUCCUGCCUCCCUUCCCUCUCCCCGGAUGAGGGAUGUAAUCCUCCAAGAACUUUCAGGAUUCUGUGAAGAAGCAGUUGAAGGAGGCAAGCCAAGAGACUUGGGGACCUAAUCCUGCCAUCUUUUGCACUUAAGUGCCUUCAUCCAAGGUCUCCUGUUGCAGAGUAGCUUCAUUCCGUUGAAGCAUCAAAAAAAGUCUUCCAUGAAAUUGAGAAUGACAAGGUUUCUGAGAUACUGAAAGCAAACUUGUUUAUGGAUUUUCAAGUCACAUGUUGCCUAUCACUUGCAGCAUGUGGAAAAUUAUCUGAAGUGGAAAUGAAACCAUGCUUUACUGAGAUGACAUGCUACUUCGCCAUCAAUAAUCUCAGUGGGAAAGCAAAUACUAGGCCUACUGGCUACCAGUGACUAUUUCCUGCUUUUUCUCAUAAACAGGUACCAUCGAUGUCCUAACAGCACAUGUAAUGAAACUGUGCAUAGUUUUGUUGUGUUUUUAUCUUUGUCUGAUUUAGACUGUGAACCAUAUGUAAGAUUUGGAAAGAAAAAUUCCCCUUUCUCUAUAAGAAGCCCUGACAUGUGGCACUCAUUUAGGCAAAGAAUUCAUGCAGACACUUGGAGAGGUCCUUAUGAUUUUUCAUUUCUGUUAUGAAAUAUGCCAUUUUUGUUAAGCAAUCUCAUGCCUGGAGAAUCUCCUUCUUAUUUGUCUAACUUAGUCCUUUCCAAGGUGAAGACAUCUUUCUCCAGUGUACGUGAAGAAAGGAGACAUUCAUGGCUGAAUGAGGUGUAAGGAACAUGGGACAAAUGUAUUUUACUCAGCGAAGAAAUUAAAAAAAUCAUAUUCCAUUCUGCAAAAAUGACCCACCCUAUCAGGUAUUAAGUGUGAAAUUAUUUUUCCUCUCUCCCAUUUUCUUCACCUCCACCCCCUGAAACUUCUAGUUCCAGACCAUUAAAAAAACAGUUCAUGCUUCACGGAAAUCCAGAGGAAAAAAAGAAAAGGGAAAAAAAAGGAAAUGUUAGGGAGGUCACCAACAUAACCCACUUAUACCCAAGAAUGUAAACACAAAAAGAAACAUUUUGCUCUGCAAAACAGUCCUUUUGGUCACUCCUUCUUCAGAACGAAUUGUGUUUUUUAAAAAAUUAUUCUUUUUCUAAACAAAAUAAAGGUUUUAAACCAAACGCUUAUUAGACUGGC